UGGGGAUGUUGGUAUUGUUGUUGUCGGGUUGCAAGAAGUUGAAAUGGGUGCUGGUGUUCUUGCAAUGUCUGCAGCAAAAGAAACCGUAGGACUUGAGGGUAGUUCAGUUGGGCAGUGGUGGAUAGAUAUGAUAGACAAAACAUUGGAUGAAGGGCCAUCAUUUGAACGUGUUGGUUCUCGGCAAUUAGCAGGCUUACUCAUUGCUGUAUGGAUUAGAAAUAAUCUUAAAGCUUAUGUUGGGGAUGUUGAUGCUGCUGCAGUUCCAUGUGGCUUUGGGCGUGCAAUUGGUAAUAAGGGAGCUGUUGGUUUGAGGAUCAGAGUAUAUAAUCGAAUAAUUUGCUUUAUAAAUUGCCACUUUGCGGCACAUGUGGAGGCAGUUAAUCGUCGUAAUGCUGACUUUGACCAUGUAUAUCGAACAAUGACUUUUGGUCGACCUUCUAAUCUCUUCAAUGCUGCAGCUGGUAUGGUGCCGUACCUGUUCUUGUCUUGCUGGCUUGCAUGCUCAAUGUAUUUAUUUUGGCUUUUUUAUGGAUCUGGCUUGCCAUUGCUCCUUUGUAUUGCAGCUGGUUCUUCAUCAGCGGUCCAAAUGCUUCGUACUACAAAUGUUAUGGGUGCCAAUUCUUCAGAAGGAAUGCCUGAGUUAUCUGAGGCAGACAUGGUCAUAUUUCUUGGCGACUUCAAUUAUAGGCUUGGUGGUAUAUCUUAUGAUGAAGCAAG
Molecule: unclassified non-coding RNA, 717 nt
Filed under: Hevea brasiliensis (rubber tree)
Lineage: Eukaryota; Viridiplantae; Streptophyta; Magnoliopsida; Malpighiales; Euphorbiaceae
Source: RNAcentral